This 429-nucleotide ribosomal RNA is filed under the name Chloroflexota bacterium. Its description in RNAcentral is "Chloroflexi bacterium partial 16S ribosomal RNA". It matches the Rfam family "Bacterial small subunit ribosomal RNA", at positions 355 to 776 of the family's 1533-position model. The record is from RNAcentral. Lineage: Bacteria; Bacillati; Chloroflexota.
UGGGGAAUAUUGCACAAUGUGCGCAAGCCUGAUGCAGCCAUGCCGCGUGUGUGAAGAAGGCCUUCGGGUUGUAAAGCACUUUCAGCGGGGAGGAAGGCGAUAAGGUUAAUAACCUUGUCGAUUGACGUUACCCGCAGAAGAAGCACCGGCUAACUCCGUGCCAGCAGCCGCGGUAAUACGGAGGGUGCAAGCGUUAAUCGGAAUUACUGGGCGUAAAGCGCACGCAGGCGGUCUGUCAAGUCGGAUGUGAAAUCCCCGGGCUCAACCUGGGAACUGCAUUCGAAACUGGCAGGCUAGAGUCUUGUAGAGGGGGGUAGAAUUCCAGGUGUAGCGGUGAAAUGCGUAGAGAUCUGGAGGAAUACCGGUGGCGAAGGCGGCCCCCUGGACAAAGACUGACGCUCAGGUGCGAAAGCGUGGGGAGCAAACAGG